AUAAACCAUUAGUUGUUCCAACGGACUUACGGGCACCAACCAUUAGGGUGCCGCGGCGGUCGUGCAACCCACGGUUCAUUUCAUAAAAUAAAUAAAACGCUCAAAUAUUUAUUACGUUAAUAUUAUGUGGAAAAAACCAUUUUUUUAUGUUUGGGUUUUUUGUUAUUUUGGUCGUGCCGCCGCCGCCUGGCGAUAACGUUUUAUAUUUAGCUAGUUAUAAAUAAUAAUAUGCUGUACUAUUUUAUUGAUAAGACCAAAGUCAGACAAAAUACGUUUGGGAUUUAUUGAAAAAUGAAGAAAUAUAAUUUAUCUACUGUACAACUCUUUAUUUUAAAUCAUAUUUUUAACUAUUUAAAUUCUAUAUGGAC
Molecule: non-coding RNA, 368 nt
Organism: Cinara cedri
Lineage: Eukaryota; Metazoa; Arthropoda; Insecta; Hemiptera; Aphididae
Source: the annotation of a GenBank genome assembly